Molecule: ribosomal RNA, 468 nt
Filed under: uncultured bacterium
Lineage: Bacteria
Description: partial 16S ribosomal RNA
Rfam family: Bacterial small subunit ribosomal RNA
Source: RNAcentral
GACGAACGCUGGCGGCGUGCUUAACACAUGCAAGUCGAACGGAAAGGCCCUGCUUUUGUGGGGUGCCCGAGUGGCGAACGGGUGAGUAACACGUGAGUAACCUGCCCUUGACUUUGGGAUAACUUCAGGAAACUGGGGCUAAUACCGGAUAGGAGCUCCUGCUGCAUGGUGGGGGUUGGAAAGUUUCGGCGGUUGGGGAUGGACUCGCGGCUUAUCAGCUUGUUGGUGGGGUAGUGGCUUACCAAGGCUUUGACGGGUAGCCGGCCUGAGAGGGUGACCGGCCACAUUGGGACUGAGAUACGGCCCAGACUCCUACGGGAGGCAGCAGUGGGGAAUAUUGCACAAUGGGCGGGAGCCUGAGGCAGCAACGCCGCGUGCGGGAUGACGGCCUUCGGGUUGUAAACCGCUUUCGCCUGUGACGAGGCGUGAGUGACGGUAAUGGGUAAAGAAGCACCGGCUAACUACGUG